RNAcentral lists this ribosomal RNA (696 nucleotides) under Streptomyces sp. PDA-42-6. RNAcentral's name for it is "bacterial SSU rRNA". It matches the Rfam family "Bacterial small subunit ribosomal RNA", at positions 56 to 768 of the family's 1533-position model. Lineage: Bacteria; Bacillati; Actinomycetota; Actinomycetes; Kitasatosporales; Streptomycetaceae. The record is from RNAcentral.
UGCAAGUCGAACGAUGAACCACUUCGGUGGGGAUUAGUGGCGAACGGGUGAGUAACACGUGGGCAAUCUGCCCUGCACUCUGGGACAAGCCCUGGAAACGGGGUCUAAUACCGGAUACUGAUCCGCCUGGGCAUCCAGGCGGUUCGAAAGCUCCGGCGGUGCAGGAUGAGCCCGCGGCCUAUCAGCUUGUUGGUGAGGUAGUGGCUCACCAAGGCGACGACGGGUAGCCGGCCUGAGAGGGCGACCGGCCACACUGGGACUGAGACACGGCCCAGACUCCUACGGGAGGCAGCAGUGGGGAAUAUUGCACAAUGGGCGAAAGCCUGAUGCAGCGACGCCGCGUGAGGGAUGACGGCCUUCGGGUUGUAAACCUCUUUCAGCAGGGAAGAAGCGAAAGUGACGGUACCUGCAGAAGAAGCGCCGGCUAACUACGUGCCAGCAGCCGCGGUAAUACGUAGGGCGCAAGCGUUGUCCGGAAUUAUUGGGCGUAAAGAGCUCGUAGGCGGCUUGUCACGUCGGUUGUGAAAGCCCGGGGCUUAACCCCGGGUCUGCAGUCGAUACGGGCAGGCUAGAGUUCGGUAGGGGAGAUCGGAAUUCCUGGUGUAGCGGUGAAAUGCGCAGAUAUCAGGAGGAACACCGGUGGCGAAGGCGGAUCUCUGGGCCGAUACUGACGCUGAGGAGCGAAAGCGUGGGGAG